RNAcentral lists this ribosomal RNA (253 nucleotides) under uncultured bacterium. Its description in RNAcentral is "partial 16S ribosomal RNA". It matches the Rfam family "Bacterial small subunit ribosomal RNA", at positions 524 to 776 of the family's 1533-position model. The record is from RNAcentral.
UACGUAGGGGGCAAGCGUUGUCCGGAUUUAUUGGGCGUAAAGAGCGUGUAGGCGGCCAUUCAGGUCAGCUGUGAAAACUCGAGGCUCAACCUCGAGACGUCGGUUGAAACCGUUUGGCUAGAGUCCGGAAGAGGAGAGUGGAAUUCCCGGUGUAGCGGUGAAAUGCGCAGAUAUCGGAAGGAACGUCAGUGGCGAAGGCGACUUCCUGGACUGAUACUGACGCUGAGGCACGAAAGCGUGGGGAGCAAACAGG